RNAcentral lists this ribosomal RNA (3069 nucleotides) under Triticum aestivum (bread wheat). RNAcentral describes it as "partial small subunit ribosomal RNA". Lineage: Eukaryota; Viridiplantae; Streptophyta; Magnoliopsida; Poales; Poaceae. The record is from RNAcentral.
AUGGGGGCGCAAGAGGCCGCGGAGGAGGCAAAGAUGCUCGCCUACAUGGAUGAGGUCAAGCAGGAGGAGGAUGAGCCGGAGCCCUCCUACCCGCCCGUCCAGCUGGCGCCCGGCACCGUCUUCGUGGAUAUCUCCGCGACGAAGAGUAGAUAUUUCGACAUAAGUCCGAGUAUCAUGGAGUCAGCAUCACCAACAGACGUGAGGUUCAGGGAACAUCCUGCUCUGCGGCUACUCUGCUUCUUCGCCGCCCUGCCCGGUAUCGCUGUCGCCGAGGUCGCGGCCUCACAAUCCCUCCUCUUCCUCAACCUGUCUUACAACAGGCUCUCCGGCCGCAUCCCUGACGCCUUCGCGGGCGGCUCCAAGGCACCCUCGUCGGCCUCCUCCGACGAGCGGAAAUUAGAAGCCAUCACCGGAGUUAUUUACCCAAAACCACCACACUUGAGGCUAGGCGCACUUGACCGCCGGAGCUGCUCCCGCCGGGGAGCUCGCCACCGGAGUGCUGUACCACCACUGACCCUCCUCCCCCUCCUUGCUUGCCUCGCCCGAGCCCUCCUGUGCUCGAUCCGGUCGCCGACUAGGCCGCCGGCCCAGCUCCUUGCGUGGACGGUGCCGAAGACCGCAGCCGCCGCGAGCUUCCAGCCAUGCUCCAGGUUGCUAAUGGCGUGCUCCUCCGUCCUGCCAACACACCACGUGGACGACCGGUCUCCUCGCGCGCGUACUCCAUCGAGGAUGGCAGCACCACGAGGAGCCUCGCCGGCAGGUGGGCGCACACCUCCAGCCUGCGGAGCUCGUUGCCAGCCUCGUGGACGCGGGCGCCAUGAGCCGCCAUCACCUCCUGCAAAAAGUGUUUCUUUGGAGAGGUCAAGCAUAGGCGUCUUGCUAGGAGGCUCCCGCGACCGAGGAGGCGCCGGAGUUGACAUGCGGCGGCACGCCAUGGCGUCUAGGCAUUGGGGGAAGAUGAUAGGAGGAAUAGGUAGAGGGCAUGGGGAGAAUGAUAGGAGGAAAAGGAAGAUGGCACAGGGAAGAAGCUCGUCGGAGCGACGGCGCUCGCCGCCCGGCAGGGCUUUGGCGGGUGCGGCUGCCACUGGAUACGGCCAGCUGUGUUGGGGUGGGUGGGGAAGAAAGUGGCUUGGGAAGAGAGAGAGAGGGGGGGUGAACAAGAGAGGCCGACAGGUGGGGCCUUUGGCCACCUCAGCAAAUUAUCCAUCUCGUCUUCCUCAGCCUCACGCACAACACGCUCGACGGGCCAGUGCCGGAAUCGCUCGCAGGGCUACCAAGCUGCAGGACCUCAACCUCUCCGGCAACAGCCUCAACGGCUCCAUUCCUGACAACCUUGGCUCGCUUCACGACCUCAAGGUGCUCGACCUCUCCGGUAACACGCUCGCCGAAGAGAUCCCGGAGAGCCUGGCCAACCUCACCACCACGCUCCAGUCCUUCAACGUCUCCUACAACAAUCUCUCUGGCGCCGUGUCGGCCUCGCUCCUACAGAAGUUUAGGCCCCCAUCCUUUGCAGGGAACAUCCUUCAGAGCGUCCAACAAUGUUUAGAAACAGAAGCGAACAUGCAGAACGUGCAAGCCAAUCGUUUUUCUCCUGUACCUGGCGGCUGGAACCCUAGCCGCUUUCAGGAGAUCCAAUCUUCCAGCGCCAUCCUCCGGCGGCUCCCCUCCGCCGGCGACCUCGGUGGUCGAUUCUUCGGAUCCUUCCUUGAAAAGGCCAUCGGUCCUAUGGUUGAGGAUGGAUUUGGAAACCAGUCUGUUCAAGUAAGGAUGGCGUGGCGACGGCGGCAUCCUUGUGGUGGACCUGUGUCCUCGGGCUCCGUCGUUGCGACGAUGUUUGCUCCAGCAUCGGCGCGGAGCUUGGGAGGUACUCCAGGAGCGGAUGCAGAUUGUGGUCUGCAUAGACGACAUCUGGAAGACGAAACAUGUGUUGGGUUCAUGGGCUUCACUUUUGGUGAGCCACCUUGGAGGUCCGCAAAGCUGCAUAUCAGCGAUGGAGACGCGUCGAGCUCGGGUGAGGAGGUGAUCCAUCAUUCUUUUCUUCGGUGGUUGCUGUCGUGGUGCCGGAGGCGGGUGAUGGGCGUUGGUGUCAAGCUCAAAGAUUACUAUGAAAAAAAGAAGCGAACAUGCACGUACAUAGCAUUCCUCGGAGGCUCGGAGGUCUGCCUGCCAUAUGGUCGGUCUGGUUGCUUCGUGAUCAUUCAUAUUCCUACUGGGCACACCUGCUGGCCGGCCGGUGUACCGCCAAGAAAUCCAGUUCAGCUAGAUGAAAUUCACCUCACUUCCUCGGUCAUGCGGCCAUCCCGUGAUGGAUUAGAGUACAUGCUUAAUCGGACAUUGUUGUCUGACCGUACAUUCACAUCAUACGUCGCCCUAAAUGAGCGUGCUCUCCCUCCAAUCCAUAUGCUCCGCUUCUAUUAUCGGGGUGCACCCACGGUUCAGAUCCUCGCUCGCCUCUGUCAUACACCAAAAGUGCAGUACACAAUGGCAUUCCUCACCGCCAAGUGUUCGUCCGCCCUGCUCCUCCUGUUCGGCCUGUCCGUGCCCCUGGCGGCGUGCCACGGCGCCGCCCACAACAUCACCGCCAUCCUCGCUGCGCGCCCGGACCUCGGCGAGUUCACCAGCCUGCUGGCGUCCACCGGCCUCGCGCACGACAUCAACCAGCACAGCGCCCCCAUCACGGUCCUCGCCGUCGACAACGCCGGCAUGGUUCCGCUCAGGGCGCGUCGCAUGCCACGCGCCGCGAUACGGCGCCGCCUCUCGCUCCACGUUCUCACCGACUACGACGCCGCGAGGCUGCAUAGCCUCCCGCCAGGCGGCUCCGUGGUGGCGUCCACCCUGUUCCCGGCCUCCCGCUCCGGGGCAGGGGGCAACGGCAUGGUGGAGAUCGUCAUGCCCGGGCUCGGGCUCGGUGACGAGGGGCGAGCGAGGUUCCUGCCCAUGGGCUCCGGCCCCGGCUUCUGGCAAGCCGCCUUCUUCGUCACGUCCGUGUACGAAGCGCCUGGCGACAUGUCCGUGCUGCAGGUCUCCGCCGUGAUGUCGGCCGGAGGCCCGCGCAAAGCUACUGAUUAA